This 468-nucleotide ribosomal RNA is filed under the name uncultured bacterium. RNAcentral's name for it is "bacterial SSU rRNA". It matches the Rfam family "Bacterial small subunit ribosomal RNA", at positions 775 to 1231 of the family's 1533-position model. The record is from RNAcentral.
AGUAAAUAGAUACCCGGGUAGUCCACGCCGUAAACGAUGUGCACUAGAUCGAGGAGAUUUUGACAUCAUUCUCGGUCGAAAGUAAAAACGUUGAGUGCACCGCCUGGGGAGUACGGUCGCAAGGCUAAAACUCAAAGGAAUUGACGGGGGCUCACACAAGCGGUGGAGCAUGUGGCUCAAUUCGAAGCAACGCGAAGAACCUUAUCCUAGGCUUGACAUGCACGGAUUAGUUCCGAGAAACCGGAAUGACACUCUCGUAGUGGAACGUGCACAGGUGCUGCAUGGCUGUCGUCAGCUCGUGCUGUGAAGUGUCGGGUUAAGUCCCUUAACGAGCGAAACCCCUAUCAUUAGUUGCGAACAGGUAAAGCUGCGGACUCUAAUGAGACUGCCGGUGUUAAACCGGACGAAGGUGGGGAUGACGUCAAGUCCUCAUGGCCUUUAUGCCUAGGGCUGCACACGUGCUACAAU